RNAcentral lists this unclassified non-coding RNA (370 nucleotides) under Hevea brasiliensis (rubber tree). Lineage: Eukaryota; Viridiplantae; Streptophyta; Magnoliopsida; Malpighiales; Euphorbiaceae. The record is from RNAcentral.
UUUGAAAAGGAAAAAUGAAAACAACCCUACUGCCACAAACACAAGAAGUAUGAUGACAAUCUUUCUCCCAGUAUUGCUACCAGAAGUAUGGGCAUUGGCCUUUGUGCCAUUUUUGGAACUAGAUGGAUCACCAGAAAUGCCUGAAAUGAAUUGCAGAGAAAUUGAGGCGAAAAAUAAUAUUAAGGAACGCAAACGCAACGAUCUGGUUAUUGAGAUUGAACUCAUCCCUCUCUCCCUUUGUCUCUCAAAGAUCUUCUCUUCAAUAAAUUUUCCCUCGGGGACGGUGGAGAGAACGAUGUCUCCUGCAAGCUGCAACUUGAAGCUAUCGAUUUUUCGAAAAAACAAAAUUAUAUUAUAUACGAUGUUUUUA